GGGUUGAAGUUUUCAGCUGGUAUGUUUCAUUAAAAUUUACCUGUACAGGUAACUCAGGUUUCUUUUAAAAUUGACAUUUCACCUUUUUUUGAAAAUGUAGAAUAAAAUAUUGUUUAAGUCUGUUUAAUUUAUUAUUUGUUUUUUUGUUUUAAUGUUAUUUAAAAUUUUUAUUUUUGUUUUUUUUUUCAUUUUUGUAUGGGUUUUUUUAUUACUUUUUUGUUUCUUAUUCUUUUAAUUUAAUCUUGGUAAGAAUCUUCAGUAGAAAUGGCAAAAAGUCAAAGAUAAAGCUAUUGACUAACAUUUGAAAUAAACACUUUUAAUAAUUGUUUU
This 330-nucleotide long non-coding RNA is filed under the name Mytilus galloprovincialis (Mediterranean mussel). Lineage: Eukaryota; Metazoa; Mollusca; Bivalvia; Mytilida; Mytilidae. The record is from RNAcentral.